This 2552-nucleotide small RNA is filed under the name Pan troglodytes (chimpanzee). Its description in RNAcentral is "retained intron". Lineage: Eukaryota; Metazoa; Chordata; Mammalia; Primates; Hominidae. The record is from RNAcentral.
GUGCCUUGUGAGAGCUGAGGGACAGGUAGGGUCACCGUGUCUCUGUGAGGCCCUGUGGCCUCAGGAGUGUUAGUGCCACCUGCCACAUGGCACCUGCCACAUGGGUGGGACGGGACAGCACUGCCACACCCUCCUCUGCACCUCCUCCCCUUUGGGGCUCCUUCCUAGCUGGAAACCAGUACUGGGUGUCCCCCAGAACCACUCACGGCUUUUGUUACUUCCUACUGUUCUGCGUGAGCUGGGACAUGAGGAGAGUGGGACAGGUCCUGAGCGUGGCCACCUGGGGAGGUAGGCAGGCGGUGCAUAUGGUCAGCACAGAUUGGCCAAUCGCACCCCACAGGCACCCUGUGGAACCUGUCAUCCUAUGAGCCCCUGAAGAUGGUCAUCAUUGACCAUGGCCUGCAGACGCUGACCCACGAGGUGAUCGUGCCCCACUCAGGAUGGGAGCGUGAGCCCAACGAGGACUCCAAGCCACGGGACGCCGAGUGGACAACUGUCUUCAAGAACACGUCGGGCUGCCUGAGGAAUGUGAGCUCCGAUGGUGCUGAGGCCCGGCGGCGACUCCGGGAGUGUGAAGGGCUGGUGGAUGCGCUCCUGCAUGCCCUGCAGUCGGCUGUGGGCCGGAAGGACACUGACAACAAGUCGGUGGAGAACUGCGUGUGCAUCAUGCGGAACCUGUCCUACCACGUGCACAAGGAGGUGCCCGGGGCCGACAGGUACCAGGAGGCCGAGCCCGGGCCCCUGGGCAGUGCUGUAGGCUCCCAGCGCCGGAGGCGGGAUGAUGCCAGCUGCUUUGGUGGCAAGAAGGCCAAAGGAAAGAAGGAUGGUGAGAUGGACCGGAACUUUGACACGCUAGACCUGCCCAAGCGAACUGAGGCCGCCAAAGGCUUUGAGCUGCUGUACCAGCCCGAGGUGGUACGUCUCUACCUCUCCCUCCUCACGGAGAGCCGGAACUUCAACACCCUGGAGGCUGCCGCCGGCGCUCUGCAGAACCUCAGUGCCGGCAACUGGAUGUGGGCCACGUACAUCCGCGCCACAGUGCGCAAAGAGCGCGGGCUGCCGGUGCUUGUGGAACUGCUGCAGUCUGAGACCGACAAGGUGGUGCGCGCCGUCGCCAUCGCUCUGCGCAACCUCUCGCUGGACCGGCGCAACAAAGACCUCAUCGGGAGCUACGCCAUGGCCGAGCUUGUGCGGAAUGUGCGCAAUGCACAGGCUCCGCCGCGACCGGGGGCCUGCCUGGAGGAAGACACCGUGGUGGCGGUGCUCAACACCAUCCACGAAAUCGUGUCCGACAGCCUGGAUAACGCGCGCUCGCUCCUGCAGGCACGCGGGGUGCCAGCGUUGGUGGCUCUCGUCGCCUCCAGCCAAUCGGUACGCGAAGCGAAGGCGGCGUCACACGUGCUGCAGACUGUGUGGAGCUACAAGGAGCUGCGUGGUACCUUGCAGAAAGAUGGUUGGACCAAGGCGCGCUUCCAGUCAGCUGCUGCUACUGCCAAGGGGCCUAAGGGAGCACUGAGUCCUGGGGGCUUCGAUGACAGCACGCUGCCACUGGUGGACAAGAGCCUUGAGGGCGAGAAGACUGGCAGCCGGGAUAUGAUCCCCAUGGAUGCGCUGGGCCCAGACGGAUACUCCACGGUGGACCGGAGGGAGCGGAGGCCACGGGGCGCCAGCUCUGCAGGAGAGGCCUCUGAGAAGGAACCCUUGAAAGGCCCAGGCCCAGCCUCUUGUUCUUAGGGCUUGGAUCGUGGAAGAAGGGCCACCCUGAGCAGAUCGUGCCGUGGAGCUUGGAGCCCCCUGGCGGCAGGGGUUGGCAGUGCCUCGCCCCAGCCAAGCCUGACUUUGGGGACACCCUCCUGCCCCCCACCCCACUCCCCCCAUCCUACCUAACUCCCUAGGCCUGAGAUAGCUGUUUACUGACAUGGUGCUGUGUGUGAGCGAGUGACAGAAGGCCCGAGGAGGCCGACUGGGCUGCUGGGGCAGGGCCCAGGGAGGUGGCAGGGAAGGGUGCCUGACUGGGCUUUGGGGCUGGUGGGAUAGGAGGGUGCCCCUGGGAACACAGUGCCCCAGUGGUGCGGGCCAGGUCUGGCGCCAGGGGCAGGCAGCUAGGCAGGGAGGGGGCUGGGAAAGAACUUGGACUUCUAAAGGCGGAGGGUCUCCCUGGGCACCCUGCAGGCAGGCUGACCACAGUGUGGGGGGUGCCCCACAAGGCCCAGCCCUGGGCAAGGAAGCUUUGGAAGCAGCAAGGUGGGGGUCAGGCUACAGGUGCCCCACCUCCCCAGAGCCCUGCAGUCACGUGAGGCCCCUGUGCAGUAGAGAGCCUUUCUCCAGCCCAUGCUGGCUGGGGCCAGGGCUGCCGCAUCUGCCUGGAGCCUGGGCAGCACCUCCGGGACUGACCUUCGGCAGUGGCUUGGGGACUGCUUUCAGUGCCUGCUGUUCGUGACUCAGAAACAGAAGAAAAACACUGAGAAAAAGCAUUAAAAAUAAGCCAAAAUAAGACUAUUGGUAAACACCUAAAUUUUUGUAAGAAAAUUUAAAAAUUAAAGCAGCAAAGG